UGUGAAAACAUCGAAGGGAAUGUGGUUGCGCGCCAGUGUGUGGAAGCGAGUGUGAACUAGGUCGUGGUUGUCCAUAUGGGGGCGGGGGCAUGAUACCGUAUACACACGCAUACAUUGAGCAGUAGCCCAUCAUGUUACAUCUACUUAAGUGUAGCCACUUUGGAAUAAAAGCACACUGCUCAUUUAGGCCCAUUCAUUUCAGUGGCUCUGCUUGUGAGAACUUAGUUGGGAUCCGCACUUCCCCAUUUAUUGCUCGAAGCCCCGGGAAGUUUUAUGUAGUGGCUAACAAAUAUAGAUGAUAAAUGCAUAAUACAAAAAUGAGUGGGGGGAGGAAGGAAAUUGGAGAGAGGUGUGACUGUGUGGAUGCAUGAGGCCUGCAUAGAGGAGAGCGAGGGGGCAACUGGCUUGCCUACACGCCAUACGCUUAAAGCACAUGGCUCCCCACCACCAAAUAAACUGGGAACUGUCGUUCGCUAAGGGUGCUGGGAAUUGUAGUUCUGUGAGGAAUAAGCUGCUGUUCCGAGGAUUCUGUCUGUGUUUUAAAUGCAUUGCAGAGCUGUGUGUGUAUGUGUGCAUCAGACAGACAGACAGACAGACGGGAGAAUGGGGCACAUAUCCUGUCAGGAAAGAGUGAAUGGGAAAGGCUUGUGUAGGAGUGUGGAUUAUGAGGGGGAAAACAUGAAAGGGAAAUGUGAGGAAGGAGUGUGCUUGUGCUACGAUGUACCAGGCUCUUCCUCACACCUCAUUCUUCUCUUUCCCGCCCAAAUCCAUUCCUAUGUCUCCUCCUGCCUCUCACUCGUAUUUUCAGUCAGCUCCCUCAUAUUCACGGUUUCCUCGCAACGUCUCUCAUGUAUGUAGUUGUUUCUUUCGUCUCUCCCUUAUGGAUGCAGUUCUUUCUUUCACUUGCAAGCUCGCUCUCUCUCUCUCUCUCUCUCUCUCUCUCUCACACACACACACACACACACACACACACACACACUCAGUGCCUUCACCACAGGCAGGACGUGUGAACAGACAAGGGUUGGGGUGGAAAACAAGAGAGGGGUGUGUUUGUGUGUGUCAGAAUCGCACGGGGUCUCCGUGUGAAGGAAAAGGGAGCAGAAUGGGAGGCCAGGGCAGCUCCAUUUUAGUGUGCAUGGGCACACUUGUGUAAAAACAUGAGGGAGACAGUGUUGGGGCUGGCAGGGAGGGAGGGAGGGAAAGUGGUGCAACUGAUUGACAGAAGCGCAGUGUGUGAAAGGAAUGUGUGGUGCGUUAGGACCGAAAGAUGUUAUGAGAACCCUUUUUUUUUAGUCAACAAAUUUUUAAUCCAACAAAUAUGUAUGCGUAAGAUAGGUACACAGCGUGUUUUAUUCAAGAAUUCCUACACAGAAGUGUCUUUUGUAAGGUGCAAGGGCAGCCAACAUAAUGCUGACUGGAUGCUGUUGGACUAAAACUCCCACCAGCCCCAGCCAGCACAGCCAGUGGGGAUGGUAGCUUAUUUAGGGGUAAACUACAGUUCCCGGGAUUGUCAGGAGGAAAUAAUGUGUGUUCAGUAUAUGGAGUGUCACUGUGUCUAUCUCUCAGUGUGUCCUUUCCCCCCAUAACUCUUAAAAAAGACAGACGGCUCUUAAUAUACACAUUCAGAGCUUCUUUCCUCACAUGCUGAUGAAAUCUGACAAAAUGUUCUAUUCUGUCAGAAGCAUCGAUCAGUUGUCAACAGGAGCUGCCAAAGCAAGCUGUUGGAUCCCUUUUUGGGGAUUUGUGGUUUUUUUUAAUGGGGUGGUAGUGUCUGAGUGUUUGUGCACCCCCCCCCACCCUUCAACAGAACUUCAAUAAUGCAUGGUAUUCUAAUUAAGAUUAUUGCUCCAAUGAAUCAGUGGGUAGUUACACACAAUAAUGAAUAUUUUAUUCAUUUAAGUUGUGAUUGGAAUAUGUGUGCCUGUGUGUCUCUCUCUUUCCUCAAGGAUAUUCCAGGCUCCUUCCUGAACGUUCAUAUUCCAUUCUAAACAAAAGACAAAAGUCUUGUCCUACUGCAGUUUAAAAUUCCAAAUCACAACUUUUUAAAAUGGAGGCAGCCUUAAGAGGUAUGUGGUAUAGUGGUUAGAGCGCUGGACUCACAACCCCAACUUUGACCAGGGUUUAAAUCUGCAUCCAGCCCAUGAUUGUGGGCCAUUCACUGUACUUCAGCCUAAAUUACCUCACAGGGUUAUUGUGAGGA
RNAcentral lists this long non-coding RNA (2200 nucleotides) under Podarcis lilfordi (Lilford's wall lizard). The record is from RNAcentral. Lineage: Eukaryota; Metazoa; Chordata; Lepidosauria; Squamata; Lacertidae.